GAUGAACGCUGGCGGCGUGCUUAACACAUGCAAGUCGAACGAUGAACCGGGUGCUUGCACUCGGGGAUUAGUGGCGAACGGGUGAGUAACACGUGAGCACCCUGCCCCUGACUCUGGGAUAAGCGCUGGAAACGGCGUCUAAUACUGGAUAUGUCCCGUCACCGCAUGGUGUGCGGGUGGAAAGAUGUUUCGGUUGGGGAUGGGCUCGCGGCCUAUCAGCUUGUUGGUGCGGUAAUGGCUCACCAAGGCGUCGACGGGUCGCCGGCCUGAGAGGGUGACCGGCCACACUGGGACUGAGACACGGCCCAGACUCCUACGGGAGGCAGCAGUGGGGAAUAUUGCACAAUGGGCGGAAGCCUGAUGCAGCAACGCCGCGUGAGGGAUGACGGCCUUCGGGUUGUAAACCUCUUUUAGCAGGGAAGAAGCGAGAGUGACGGUACCUGCAGAAAAAGCACCGGCUAACUACGUGCCAGCAGCCGCGGUAA
This 485-nucleotide ribosomal RNA is filed under the name uncultured bacterium. Its description in RNAcentral is "partial 16S ribosomal RNA". It matches the Rfam family "Bacterial small subunit ribosomal RNA", at positions 28 to 523 of the family's 1533-position model. The record is from RNAcentral.